GACAGAGGGGGCCAGCGUUGUCCGGAUUUAUUGGGCGUAAAGCGCUCGCAGGUGGUUCGUCGCGUCGUGCGUGAAAGACCCCGGCUCAACUGGGGGAGGUCGUGCGAUACGGGCGGACUGGAGGCCAGUAGGGGGAUGCGGAAUUCCGGGUGUAGUGGUGGAAUGCGUAGAGAUCCGGAGGAACACCAGCGGCGAAGGCGGCAUCCUGGACUGGUCCUGACACUCAUGAGCGAAAGCGUGGGGAGCGAUCCGG
Molecule: ribosomal RNA, 253 nt
Filed under: uncultured bacterium
Lineage: Bacteria
Description: partial 16S ribosomal RNA
Rfam family: Bacterial small subunit ribosomal RNA
Source: RNAcentral